Molecule: ribosomal RNA, 425 nt
Filed under: uncultured bacterium
Lineage: Bacteria
Description: partial 16S ribosomal RNA
Rfam family: Bacterial small subunit ribosomal RNA
Source: RNAcentral
GUGGGGAAUAUUGCACAAUGGGCGAAAGCCUGAUGCAGCGACGCCGCGUGAGCGAUGAAGUAUUUCGGUACGUAAAGCUCUAUCAGCAGGGAAGAUAAUGACGGUACCUGACUAAGAAGCACCGGCUAAAUACGUGCCAGCAGCCGCGGUAAUACGUAUGGUGCAAGCGUUAUCCGGAUUUACUGGGUGUAAAGGGAGCGUAGGCGGCGUGGUAAGUCAGAAGUGAAAGCCCGGGGCUCAACCCCGGUACUGCUUUUGAAACUAGCAUGCUAGAGUGUCGGAGAGGUAAGUGGAAUUCCUAGUGUAGCGGUGAAAUGCGUAGAUAUUAGGAGGAACACCAGUGGCGAAGGCGGCUUACUGGACGAAAACUGACGCUGAGGCGCGAAAGCCAGGGGAGCGAACGGGAUUAGAUACCCUUGUAGUCC